This 253-nucleotide ribosomal RNA is filed under the name uncultured bacterium. RNAcentral describes it as "partial 16S ribosomal RNA". It matches the Rfam family "Bacterial small subunit ribosomal RNA", at positions 524 to 776 of the family's 1533-position model. The record is from RNAcentral.
UACAGAGGGUGCGAGCGUUAAUCGGAAUUACUGGGCGUAAAGCGCGCGUAGGCGGUUUUGUAAGUCGGGUGUGAAAUCCCCAGGCUCAACCUGGGAACUGCAUUCGAGACUGCAUGACUGGAGUAUGGGAGAGGACAGCGGAAUUUCCGGUGUAGCGGUGAAAUGCGUAGAUAUCGGAAGGAACAUCAGUGGCGAAGGCGGCUGUCUGGCCCAAUACUGACGCUCAUGUGCGAAAGCGUGGGGAGCAAACGGG